GAUGAACGCUGGCGGCGUGCCUAAUACAUGCAAGUCGAGCGAACAGACGAGGAGCUUGCUCCUCUGACGUUAGCGGCGGACGGGUGAGUAACACGUGGAUAACCUACCUAUAAGACUGGGAUAACUUCGGGAAACCGGAGCUAAUACCGGAUAAUAUCUUGCACCGCAUGGUUCAAUAGCGAAAUACGGUUUUGCUGUCACUUAUAGAUGUAUCCGCGCCGCAUUAGCUAGUUGGUAAGGUAACGGCUUACCAAGGCAACGAUGCGUAGCCGACCUGAGGGGGUGAUCGGCCACACUGGAACUGAGACACGGUCAAGACUCCUACGGGAGGCAGCAGUAGGGAAUCUUCCGCAAUGGGCGAAAGCCUGACGGAGCAACGACGAGUGAGUGAUGAAGGUCUUCGGAUCGUAAAACUCUGUUAUUAGGGAAGAAAAAAUGUGUAAGUAACUAUGCACGUCAUGACGGUACCUAAUCAGAAAGCCACGGCUAACUACGUG
RNAcentral lists this ribosomal RNA (497 nucleotides) under uncultured bacterium. RNAcentral describes it as "partial 16S ribosomal RNA". It matches the Rfam family "Bacterial small subunit ribosomal RNA", at positions 28 to 507 of the family's 1533-position model. The record is from RNAcentral.